AACGGCCGUACCAUGCUGAAUAUACCGGUUCUCGUUAGAUCACCGAAGUCAAGCAUCAUUGGGCGCGAUCAGUACUUGGGUGGGUGACCACCUGGGAACACUGCGUGCCGUU
Molecule: ribosomal RNA, 112 nt
Filed under: Caerostris darwini
Lineage: Eukaryota; Metazoa; Arthropoda; Arachnida; Araneae; Araneidae
Source: RNAcentral